Molecule: ribosomal RNA, 198 nt
Filed under: uncultured bacterium
Lineage: Bacteria
Description: partial 16S ribosomal RNA
Rfam family: Bacterial small subunit ribosomal RNA
Source: RNAcentral
ACGCUCGACACCUACUGGAGGCAGCAGUGGGGAAUAUUGCACAAUGGGGGAAACCCUGAUGCAGCGACGCCGCGUGAGCGAAGAAGUAUUUCGGUAUGUAAAGCUCUAUCAGCAGGGAAGAAAAUGACGGUACCUGACUAAGAAGCACCGGCUAAAUACGUGCUAGCAGCCGCGGUAAUCUGAGCGGGCUGGCAAGGC